AACGAACGCUGGCGGCAUGCCUAACACAUGCAAGUCGAACGAGACCUUCGGGUCUAGUGGCGCACGGGUGCGUAACGCGUGGGAACCUGCCUUUAGGUUCGGAAUAACUCAGAGAAAUUUGAGCUAAUACCGGAUGAUGUCUUCGGACCAAAGAUUUAUCGCCUUUAGAUGGGCCCGCGUUGGAUUAGCGAGUUGGUGGGGUAAAGGCCUACCAAGGCGAAGAUCCAUAGCUGGUCUGAGAGGAUGAUCAGCCACACUGGGACUGAGACACGGCCCAGACUCCUACGGGAGGCAGCAGUGGGGAAUAUUGGACAAUGGGCGAAAGCCUGAUCCAGCAAUGCCGCGUGAGUGAUGAAGGCCUUAGGGUUGUAAAGCUCUUUUACCCGAGAUGAUAAUGACAGUAUCGGGAGAAUAAGCUCCGGCUAACUCCGUG
RNAcentral lists this ribosomal RNA (433 nucleotides) under uncultured bacterium. Its description in RNAcentral is "partial 16S ribosomal RNA". It matches the Rfam family "Bacterial small subunit ribosomal RNA", at positions 29 to 507 of the family's 1533-position model. The record is from RNAcentral.